RNAcentral lists this ribosomal RNA (502 nucleotides) under uncultured bacterium. RNAcentral's name for it is "bacterial SSU rRNA". It matches the Rfam family "Bacterial small subunit ribosomal RNA", at positions 874 to 1377 of the family's 1533-position model. The record is from RNAcentral.
UGGGAGUACGGCCGACAAGGUUAAAACUCAAAGGAUUGACGGGGACCGCACAAGCGGUGGAUGAUGUGGAUUAAUUCGAUGCAACGCGAAAAACCUUACCUACCCUUGACAUGUCCAGAAGCCUGAAGAGAUUUGGGUGUGCCCGAAAGGGAACUGGAACACAGGUGCUGCAUGGCUGUCGUCAGCUCGUGUCGUGAGAUGUUGGGUUAAGUCCCGCAACGAGCGCAACCCUUGUCGUUAAUUGCCAUCAUUCAGUUGGGCACUUUAACGAGACUGCCGGUGACAAACCGGAGGAAGGUGGGGAUGACGUCAAGUCCUCAUGGCCCUUAUGGGUAGGGCUUCACACGUCAUACAAUGGUCGGUACAGAGGGUUGCCAAGCCGCGAGGUGGAGCCAAUCCCAGAAAGCCGAUCGUAGUCCGGAUCGCAGGCUGCAACUCGCCUGCGUGAAGUCGGAAUCGCUAGUAAUCGCGGAUCAGCAUGUCGCGGUGAAUACGUUCCCGG